GAUGAACGCUGGCGGGUCUAGACUUAAACACAUGCAAGUCGAGACGGAAAGUCUUUCGGACUUUAGCGGCGGACGGGUGAGUAACGCGUGAGAAUCUGCCCUCAGGACUGGGACAACAGUUGGAAACGACUGCUAAUACCGGAUGUGCCUACGGGUGAAACAUUUAUGGGUCUGGGGAUGAGCUCGCGUUCUAGAUUAGCUAGUUGGAGUGGUAACGGCACACCAAGGCAAUGAUCUGUAGCUGGUCUGAGAGGAUGAUCAGCCACACUGGGAACUGAGAGACGGUCCAGACUCCUACGGGAGGCAGCAGUGGGGAAUUUUCCGCAAUGGGCGAAAGCCUGACGGAGCAAGACCGCGUGGGGGAGGAA
Molecule: ribosomal RNA, 368 nt
Filed under: uncultured bacterium
Lineage: Bacteria
Description: bacterial SSU rRNA
Rfam family: Bacterial small subunit ribosomal RNA
Source: RNAcentral